ACGAACGCUGGCGGCGUGCUUAACACAUGCAAGUCGAACGGAAAGGCCCUGCUUUUGUGGGGUGCUCGAGUGGCGAACGGGUGAGUAACACGUGAGUAACCUGCCCUUGACUUUGGGAUAACUUCAGGAAACUGGGGCUAAUACCGGAUAGGAGCUCCUGCUGCAUGGUGGGGGUUGGAAAGUUUCGGCGGUUGGGGAUGGACUCGCGGCUUAUCAGCUUGUUGGUGGGGUAGUGGCUUACCAAGGCUUGGACGGGUAGCCGGCCUGAGAGGGUGACCGGCCACAUUGGGACUGAGAUACGGCCCAGACUCCUACGGGAGGCAGAAGUGGGGAAUAUUGCACAAUGGGCGGAAGCCUGAUGCAGCAACGCCGCGUGCGGGAUGACGGCCUUCGGGUUGUAAACCGCUUUCGCCUGUGACGAAGCGUGAGUGACGGUAAUGGGUAAAGAAGCACCGGCUAACUACGUG
This 467-nucleotide ribosomal RNA is filed under the name uncultured bacterium. RNAcentral's name for it is "partial 16S ribosomal RNA". It matches the Rfam family "Bacterial small subunit ribosomal RNA", at positions 29 to 507 of the family's 1533-position model. The record is from RNAcentral.